RNAcentral lists this long non-coding RNA (1452 nucleotides) under Mus musculus (house mouse). RNAcentral's name for it is "long non-coding RNA chr3:5576201-5577653". The record is from RNAcentral. Lineage: Eukaryota; Metazoa; Chordata; Mammalia; Rodentia; Muridae.
ACACCCAGAAGCAACACCGGGUCUGAGGAAAGCCGGAUAAGGCCUGGCCACGGAAAAUGCCGAGGAGCCGAAGGGACGAAGAGACGAAGGGACGAAGGGACGAAGGGAAGAGACGCCCAAGAGGACACUCCACGCACUGGGAUUGGUCCGCAAAGCUGCCUCUGAUUGGCAGAAGCGUCACCGAGCGGUCAGCGCGGGGUCAGGGCCGGGCGUGAAGAGGCUUUGCUGUCCCGGCCCAGAGGGAGGUCUGGGCUCUGCGGGCAGGCUCUGGGCCCAAGGACGCCGCUGACGGCCGCUGGACAAGUGCCGCCGGCUGGCGACCCGGCGCCUGCGCACCUGAGGGCCGGGGACUGACCUUGGGUCCUCCCGGUUGUCGGUCUGACCUUGUCCCCAGAUGUGUGGCAGCACACUAGGUCCCCAUCGGGCAGCCACUGGGGCAGAGGCUGCAGGCCACCCGAUGGGAGGCAGGCCAGUGACAAGGAGCUAGAAUGGCCUUGGCUGGGUGGGUUGGUCGGGAGGUACUUAGGAAAUCAGGUAGAGCCUACCGAAGUUGUAAAGUCUUUUUAAUGCUACCAACCCCGCCUGCAUCCCCAGGCUCGUGGAGGUAGUGAUACAAAAAUACAAUUGUCUCCAAUGCCCCAAAACUUUUCAUUGUAUUUUGUUUCAGAAAUUACCCAGAGCAUCAGAGUUCUGUGCAUGACACAUGGACAGCAUAAAGGAGGCGGUAAUAAGAACCUCAGAAUCAUGCACUCAGUACAAUUCUGAUUCUUUGUUUUUUGUUUUUUAAAUAAUGUGUGUUUUUAAAAAAACAAAACAAACAAAAAAACCUUAGUAUCUGGAGUAUAUUAAAGGAGAACUUGGGAGCAAAAUUGGGUGGAAGACAAAGAAAGCAAACAAAUCCCUUUUUAACAAGUAACCUGACAGUGUAGAAAACACUGUAGGAGGAGCUCCAGUUUGCUACAGUAGGUAUGGAAUACAGAUAGGGACUGCAGGGAUGUGUCUAGAGAUGCACCAGUAUACCCACCCCAUGGUGACCACUAUCUUCUUGUGAUUGGUUUGAAAUACAGCCUACUCUAACUGUAAGGUAUGGACACGAUUCUAAGACAGCUUAAAGGGAUACAAAAUACUCAUCAAUUUGAUGCAUUGGCCAUUAUAUUGAAAGUGUUCCAAAAAAUUUAAAGUAAUGGGGUUCCUAUUAUUAUGUAGGGAGCUGUUGUUCAAAAUAGUGAAUUCUCUUUGAAGAGCAAGGCUUUGACUUAGUUGUGUAGGAAGGUAGCCCAAGGUAGGCUGUGAUAGACUGUUUAGGUUUUGGUGUUUUUUGCUUUUGAUACGGGCUUUUGCAAUGUAGCUCUAUGGUUGGCCUCAAAGCACUUCUGUCUCAGCUGCUAUGUGCUGGGAAGACAACUGCAUAUUUUCUUGCCUAGUUCACUUGAUUUUUAUGAGGACAAAGGU